CCUACGGGAGGCAGCAGUGGGGAAUCUUGCGUAAUGGGCGGAAGCCUGACGCAGCGACGCCGCGUGCGGGACGAAGGCCUUCGGGUCGUAAACCGCUUUCAGCAGGGACGAGGCCCUCACGGUGACGGUACCUGCAGAAGAAGCCCCGGCUAACUACGUGUCAGCAGCCGCGGUAAUACGUAGGGGGCGAGCGUUAUCCGGAUUCAUUGGGCGUAAAGCGCGCGUAGGCGGCCUGUUAGGUCGGGGGUCAAAUACCGGGGCUCAACCCCGGUCCGCCCCCGAUACCGGCAGGCUUGAGUCUGGUAGGGGAAGGCGGAAUUCCCAGUGUAGCGGUGGAAUGCGCAGAUAUUGGGAAGAACAUCAGUGGCGAAGGCGACUAUCUGGCACAUAACUGACGCUGAGGAGCGAAAGCGUGGGUAGCAAACAGGAUUAGAUACCCCUGUAGUC
RNAcentral lists this ribosomal RNA (447 nucleotides) under uncultured bacterium. RNAcentral describes it as "partial 16S ribosomal RNA". It matches the Rfam family "Bacterial small subunit ribosomal RNA", at positions 338 to 795 of the family's 1533-position model. The record is from RNAcentral.